ACUGACGGUACCCAAGGAGGAAGCCCCAGCUAACUACGUGCCAGCAGCCGCGGUAAUACGUAGGGGGCAAGCGUUAUCCGGAAUUAUUGGGCGUAAAGAGUACGUAGGUGGCAACCUAAGCGCAGGGUUUAAGGCAAUGGCUUAACCAUUGUUCGCCCUGCGAACUGGGAUGCUUGAGUGCAGGAGAGGAAAGCGGAAUUCCUAGUGUAGCGGUGAAAUGCGUAGAUAUUAGGAGGAACACCAGUGGCGAAGGCGGCUUUCUGGACUGUAACUGACACUGAGGUACGAAAGCGUGGGGAGCAAACAGGAUUAGAUACCCUGGUAGUCCACGCCGUAAACGAUGAGCACUAGGUGUCGGGGUCGCAAGACUUCGGUGCCGUAGUUAACGCAUUAAGUGCUCCGCCUGGGGAGUACGCACGCAAGUGUG
RNAcentral lists this ribosomal RNA (427 nucleotides) under uncultured bacterium. RNAcentral's name for it is "bacterial SSU rRNA". It matches the Rfam family "Bacterial small subunit ribosomal RNA", at positions 468 to 896 of the family's 1533-position model. The record is from RNAcentral.